This 984-nucleotide small RNA is filed under the name Pan troglodytes (chimpanzee). RNAcentral describes it as "retained intron". The record is from RNAcentral. Lineage: Eukaryota; Metazoa; Chordata; Mammalia; Primates; Hominidae.
CUUGUCCCCAUUCCUGACUCCAAAUCCAACCCCUAAGCCUCCCCAAGCUCCUCCUAUCUAACCUUGUCUCCAGCCCCAACCACAUGGCCGUCCUCACCUCCAAUCCGUAACCAUCCCAGACCAAUCCCAAAGCCAACUCCAGCUACAUUCCCACCUCCAACCCCAAUAGCAUCUGCAUCCCCAUGCCCAACCCUAACCCCAGUGCCAUUACCAGCCCCUACCCCAUCCCUAUGCCAUCCCCACCCAGCACACCCCCAUCCUCACCUCCAUCCCCAGCCGCAUCCUAGUCCCACCCACCCCCAUCCUCAGUUCCUCCCCCUGCCGUGUGCACCUCCAACACAACGCCUCCGCCCGCUGCCUCCUCCCCGCAGGCCGCCAGGGGAGCCAGGGCUGAGCCACUCUGGGUCGGAGCAACCAGAGCAGACCGGCCUUCUCAUGGGAGGUGCCUCCGGAGGAGCCAGGGGUGGCAGCGGGGGCUUCGGAGACGAGUGCUGAGCCAAGAACCUCCUAGAGGCUGUCCCUGGACCUGGAGCUGCAGGCAUCAGAGAACCAGCCCUGCUCACGCCAUGCCCGCCCCCGCCUUCCCUCUUCCCUCUCCCUGCCCAGCCCUCCCUUCCUUCCUCUGCCGGCAAGGCAGGGACCCACAGUGGCUGCCUGCCUCCGGGAGGGAAGGAGAGGGAGGGUGGGUGGGUGGGAGGGGGCCUUCCUCCAGGGAAUGUGACUCUCCCAGGCCCCAGAAUAGCUCCUGGACCCAAGCCCAAGGCCCGGCCUGGGACAAGGCUCCGAGGGUCGGCUGGCCGGAGCUAUUUUUACCUCCCGCCUCCCUUGCUGGUCCCCCCACCUGACGUCUUGCUGCAGAGUCUUGACACUGGAUUCCCCCCCCUCACCCCGCCCCUGGUCCCACUCCUGCCCCCGCCCUACCUCCGCCCCACCCCAUCAUCUGUGGACACUGGAGUCUGGAAUAAAUGCUGUUUGUCACAUCAA